Hyaena hyaena (striped hyena) is the source of this 358-nucleotide long non-coding RNA. RefSeq lists it as uncharacterized. The transcript is spliced from 2 exons. The record is from RefSeq and is a predicted model, not a curated record. NCBI's taxonomy places the organism in Eukaryota, Metazoa, Chordata, Mammalia, Carnivora, Hyaenidae.
UAUAUGUGAGAAGCAGUGCAGCCGUCUGCUGCUGACCACAUUCUUUACAAAUGAAGCCAUUAUAGGACAGAGGGAAAGAAAGAGAGAAACUAAGUCUCAACAAUAUAGGAGCCCUGGAUCAAACCGUGUCUGAAGGCAGACCUACUCCUGACUUUUUCGUUUGGAUGGACCCUAAAUCCAAUGACAAGUGUCCUUAGAAGAGAACGGGAGGAGAAAUACCAAAAAGGCGCUGUGAAGACAGAGGCCCAGAAUGACAAAUUCUCACUCAGAGGUUCUGGGAGAGACCAACCUUGCUGAUGUCUUGACUUCAGAGUUCUGGCCUCCAAAAUGACAAGAAAAUAAAUUUCUGUUGUUGUAA